UUGCUUCAGCAGGACAUAUUUUAAAAUUGUAGUGAUACAGAGAAGAUUAGCAUGGCCCUUGUGGAAGAAUAACAUUCAAAUUCAUGAAGCAUUCCAUGUUUAA
This 103-nucleotide small nuclear RNA is filed under the name Castor canadensis (American beaver). The record is from RNAcentral. Lineage: Eukaryota; Metazoa; Chordata; Mammalia; Rodentia; Castoridae.